UGCCAGCAGCCGCGGUAAUACGGAGGGUGCAAGCGUUGCUCGGAAUCACUGGGCGUAAAGGGGAGGCAGGCGGUCUAGUAUGUCUGGGGUGAAAGCCCGGAGCUCAACUCCGGAGGGUCCUCAGAAACUACCAGACUAGAAUCCUGGAGAGGGUAGCGGAAUUCCCAGUGUAGCGGUGAAAUGCGUAGAUAUCGGGAGGAACACCAGAGGCGAAGGCGGCUACCUGGACAGGCAUUGACGCUAAACUCCGAAAGCGUGGGGAGCAAACAGGAUUAGAUA
This 279-nucleotide ribosomal RNA is filed under the name uncultured bacterium. RNAcentral's name for it is "partial 16S ribosomal RNA". It matches the Rfam family "Bacterial small subunit ribosomal RNA", at positions 506 to 784 of the family's 1533-position model. The record is from RNAcentral.